AAUCAACGCUGGCGGCGUGCCUCAGACAUGCAAGUCGAACGAGAACCUCCCUUCGGGGAGGGGACAGUGGCGCACGGGUGAGUAACACGUGGGUAAUUUACCUUUGGGUGGGGAACAACAGCCGGAAACGGCUGCUAAUACCGCAUAAUGCAGCGGCUCGACAUCGAGACAGUUGUUAAAGCGGGGGAUCGCAAGACCUCGCGCCUGAAGAGAAGCCUGCGGCGGAUUAGCAGUUGGUAGGGUAAUGGCCUACCAAGGCGACGAUCUGUAACCGGCCUGAGAGGGCGGUCGGUCACACUGACACUGACAUACGGGUCAGACUCCUACGGGAGGCAGCAGUCGGGAAUUUUGGGCAAUGGGCGAAAGCCUGACCCAGCAACGCCGCGUGAAGGAUGAAGCUUUUCGGAGU
RNAcentral lists this ribosomal RNA (409 nucleotides) under uncultured bacterium. Its description in RNAcentral is "bacterial SSU rRNA". It matches the Rfam family "Bacterial small subunit ribosomal RNA", at positions 32 to 424 of the family's 1533-position model. The record is from RNAcentral.